UUCCCUAACUUCCACAUCUGAACAUGCUAAAUAAGCCUUUCAACUUUUGUCAUUUUUCUAAUUAAAAUCACUGAAGCAUGCCAUAACUAUUCUAUGAAGAAGAGGAGUACUAAACAAGCAAAAUAGCAUUUACAUAGUCUCUUUGUCACUUAAUUUACAUAAUGAAAAAAGGUCUAAAUACUGACUCACUUCACACACUCUAACAUGGUGUCUAACAGGUUCACGAGCAUUCCUACUUCAACAGAAUCAGAUCAAAGCCUUCGACUAAAUACAUGUCAUUGAAGAAAAGCAGGAUACAGAGAUAUAGAGAUAAAACUAACUAGGAGCUAACAGUCAACUAUUCAAACAUCAAGAAUUCCAUUUUUUUUCAUUUUCAAGUUUUCCAAAUUUGAACAUCACAUUGUAAGUUUCAGGAGUGUGUACCUGUUACUGAACAAACAAAAACACAAGAGACUGAGAUAUCAACAGACAACAUCAGUAUAGCAGAGAGUCAACAAAACCAGCUUAAACCAAAAGGAGUAUGGAAGCAAUAGAAAGAGCCUCACUCGAACCAAAAUCAAAGCAACUUUGAAACCAAACUUCAAACAAGCAAUUUCCCUCCAUUUUUAAUACCAAAUCAACCAAAAAAUCUUUUUCGGGAAAGGAAUGCUUGGAAAAUUACUGAAAGGUUUCAGUGAAACAGUAGUUUUUACUGAAAUUAUGGCCGUCCUUUUUUUCUGAAAUUUUUUCUCUCCCCUCCAAUCUAAGUUCAACUCUUGUUAACAAUGCUUUUAUAGAGAAG
RNAcentral lists this long non-coding RNA (781 nucleotides) under Nicotiana benthamiana. RNAcentral's name for it is "long non-coding RNA (NBEN_LNC037674)". Lineage: Eukaryota; Viridiplantae; Streptophyta; Magnoliopsida; Solanales; Solanaceae. The record is from RNAcentral.